RNAcentral lists this ribosomal RNA (845 nucleotides) under uncultured bacterium. Its description in RNAcentral is "bacterial SSU rRNA". It matches the Rfam family "Bacterial small subunit ribosomal RNA", at positions 53 to 870 of the family's 1533-position model. The record is from RNAcentral.
ACAUGCAGUCGAACGCUUUUUCUUUCACCGGAGCUUGCUCCAUCGAAAGAAAAAGAGUGCCGAUCGGGUGAGUAACACGUGGGUAACCUGCCCAUCAGAAGGGGAUAACACUUGGAAACAGGUGCUAAUACCGUAUAACACUAUUUUCCGCAUGGAAGAAAGUUGAAAGGCGCUUUUGCGUCACUGAUGGAUGGACCCGCGGUGCAUUAGCUAGUUGGUGAGGUAACGGCUCACCAAGGCAACGAUGCAUAGCCGACCUGAGAGGGUGAUCGGCCACACUGGGACUGAGACACGGCCCAGACUCCUACGGGAGGCAGCAGUAGGGAAUCUUCGGCAAUGGACGAAAGUCUGACCGAGCAACGCCGCGUGAGUGAAGAAGGUUUUCGGAUCGUAAAACUCUGUUGUUAGAGAAGAACAAGGAUGAGAGUAGAACGUUCAUCCCUUGACGGUAUCUAACCAGAAAGCCACGGCUAACUACGUGCCAGCAGCCGCGGUAAUACGUAGGUGGCAAGCGUUGUCCGGAUUUAUUGGGCGUAAAGCGAGCGCAGGCGGUUUCUUAAGUCUGAUGUGAAAGCCCCCGGCUCAACCGGGGAGGGUCAUUGGAAACUGGGAGACUUGAGUGCAGAAGAGGAGAGUGAAAUUCCAUGUGUAGCGGUGAAAUGCGUAGAUAUAUGGAGGAACACCAGUGGCGAAAGCGGCUCUCUGGUCUGUAACUGACGCUGAGGCUCGAAAGCGUGGGGAGCGAACAGGAUUAGAUACCCUGGUAGUCCACGCCGUAAACGAUGAGUGCUAAGUGUUGGAGGGUUUCCGCCCUUCAGUGCUGCAGCAAACGCAUUAAGCACUCC